GAUGAACGCUGGCGGCGUGCAUAACACAUUCAAGUCGAACGGACGAGUUUCCUUCGGGGAACGAGUUAGUGGCGGACGGGUGAGUAACGCGUGAGCAACCUGCCUUGUUGAGGGGAAUAACGUUUGGAAACGAACGCUAAUACCGCAUAGACGAAGACAUCGCAUGAUGACUUCGGGAAAGGAGCAAUCCGCAACGAGAUGGGCUCGCGUCUGAUUAGAUAGUUGGUGGGGUAACGGCCUACCAAGUCAACGAUCAGUAGCCGGACUGAGAGGUUGAACGGCCACAUUGGAACUGAGAUACGGUCCAGACUCCUACGGGAGGCAGCAGUGGGGAAUAUUGGGCAAUGGGCGAAAGCCUGACCCAGCGACGCCGCGUGAAGGAAGAAGGUCUUCGGAUUGUAAACCUCUGUCUUCAGGGACGAUAAUGACGGUACCUGAGGAGGAAGCUCCGGCUAACUACGUG
RNAcentral lists this ribosomal RNA (463 nucleotides) under uncultured bacterium. RNAcentral's name for it is "bacterial SSU rRNA". It matches the Rfam family "Bacterial small subunit ribosomal RNA", at positions 28 to 507 of the family's 1533-position model. The record is from RNAcentral.